This 12078-nucleotide long non-coding RNA is filed under the name Marmota monax (woodchuck). Lineage: Eukaryota; Metazoa; Chordata; Mammalia; Rodentia; Sciuridae. The record is from RNAcentral.
GUUUAGUUCAAUAGCUCUAUGAAGCUUAUUUUUUGUGCAAAACCAGCUAGAGUUCACUGCAGUUAGUGGUAAGUAGAGUCAAAUGAGGAACCUAUGGUUUUCUGGCUUCAACACCAUACCACAUUGAUGUCUUAUCAUAUAGAAAAUAAGUGUCAUGGCCUUAUGCAAUUUAUAAUCCAGAAAAGAAAUCCAAAUGUCUCUGUAAGAUGCAGAGGUGGUGCCACAUAUUUUCCUUUAAAUACUAUAAAAUAACUCCAUGUAUACAGUUAUGAACAGUCAGCCACACUGUUGGGAGGACAUUGUUUUGUUUCCCCUGGGCGGUGAUGUAAAAAUGGAGAUGCUACUUUGCUAACUUUUUUUUUUUUUCCAGCAGACAGUGUAACAUGUCACACGGAUUCAACCUCUUCACUCGCUGUGCAAAUUUGGUAAGAUAUUUUAUUUAUCUUAGGCUCAGUUUCCAUUUGCAAAUAUGAGACAAUGAUCUUUUCCUUGUAGGCCUGCUCUAAGAACUUAAGAGUUACUUGGAUUGUGCGUAGUCCUCAAAAAAAGGGUGGUUGUGAUGGUUUGUGGCAGUCAUUAUUGACAUGUAUUUCCAUGCAUUUGGAGAACUUUGAUGGGAGAUCUGACUGUGACCCUUAAUGGGGCUUCUUCUAUAUUCACUGACCAAUGUUGCUUGUUAUGGUUUGGAUCUAGAAGUGUCCCCCAAAAGCUAUGUGCUAGGAAACAGAUCCGUGUUCAGAGGUGAAAAGAUUGGGGAAUGAGGCCUAUAACUUCAUCAGUGGAUUAAUCAACUUGAUGGAUUAGUGAUUUGAAUGAACUACAGGGUGAUAACUGUAGGCAGGUGGGAAUGGAAAGAAAUAGGUCACUGGGGGCGUGCCUUUAGGCACUAUAUCUUGUCCCUGGCUCUGCAUGCUCUCUCUCUCUCUCUCUCACUCUCUUUCUCUCUCUCCUUCCUGAGUGCCAUGAACUGAGCAGUUUUUGGCCUCUACCACCCACUUCCACCAUGAUGUUCUGCCUCACCUCAAACCCAGAACAAUGAAGAUGACUGACCAAGGGCUGAAUCUCUGAAACAGUAAGCCAAAAUGAUAUUUUUCCUUUUCUAAAUUGAUCUUUUGUUGUUGUUGUUGGUACUGGAAAUUAAAUUCAGGGGUGUUCAACCACUAAGCCACAUUCCUAUCCCUAUUUUGUAUUUUACUUAGAGACAGGGUCUCAAUGAGUUGUUUAGAGCCUCACUUUUGCUAAGGCUGGCUUUGAAUUUGUAAUCCUCCUGCCUCAGCCUUCUGAGUUGCUGAGAUUACAGGUGUGCACCAUGGUGCCUGAACUAAGAUGUUCUUGUCAGGUAUUUUGGUCACAGUAAUGUAAAGCUGACUAACAGAGUGCUGGGCCGCAUGAUGUGUGCACCAAAGUGCUAAGUAAUUGGGUAUGUAUAGAACAGAUAGCAGGGAGGGGAGAUAAUGGAAAGAAGGAACCAAGAGUUCUUCUAAAAGAACAGCUCGCCAUUGGUAUUUGCUGGCUCUGUAUCUGUAGAUUCAACCAACUGCAGACCAAAAAUAUUGAAAGAAAAAUUGUGUUUGACUGAACAUGUACAGAUUUUCCUUUUCAUUAUUCCCUAGACAAUGAAGUAUAACAACUAUUCACAUAACAUAUACAUUAUGUUAGAUAUUAUAAGUAAUCUGUGCAGAUUAUAUGCAAAUGCUGUUCCAUUUUACAUAAAGGACUUGAAUAUUGGGAUCCUGGAACCAAUCUACCUGAUACCAAGGAGCAAUGACCUUUGCAAAAUCAAGCCAAGGAAAUGGCAGGGAUCUAUGGAAAGGAAAUGGGAAGGGGCUGGCAUGAGACCUGAAUUGUUUUUUUUUUUUUUUUUUUUCUUCUCUUAAUUGAAUAAUUCCUGGACUACUGGUCACAGAAUUCUCCUUCUGGGGAAUUCUCUUUCAAAGAACUCGCCUUACAAACACAAAUUACAAAAUAAUGGCAUAUGUUUUCUCUCCCUUAUUUCAUUCUUUAAUGUAAUACCUUUAAAGAAGAAGCUGUUUCACGUAAACCUGAUUAACUCUGAAGAGAGUGAUAAUCCAUCCAAACCAAUCCAAAUGAAGGUAAAAGGAAUAAUCAGGCUUCCAUUAUGCAAAAUGGUGCUCAGUUAAUUUAGUACAUUGCGCUGAAUAAUAAGCUGUUAGGCUCCACAUGGCUUUUUUCACGUUAAAUCAAAUUGCUUAUUGCUGCUAGAGCUUAUUUCAUAUCGCAUAAAAUUUGGAUAUAUUAUAAUGGAGUAGAUAUUAGUCCAUUAUAAGAGACAGGUUUAAGUGCUUCAUUUAUAGAAUCCCUCCACUUGGAAAAUGGUAAGGGAGAAGAAGAAAUGCAAACAAGGUAAUGGACAGAGGGGAUUUAUGUACAUUGCUUGAUGGGCCAGCUCUGCCUCGGUGACUGUGGUUGCUGUGCACAGGACCCAGUGCGUUGGAGAAAAAUCAGCAUUUCUAGUGGAAAGAAAAUCCAAAGCGAAUUUAUGUUCUUUCUCAGGGAAGUGUUGACAUUUUAAUUACUUUCUGUUUUCUUUGGAGCUACAUUUGAGAAUUGGAAGCAAGUUAGAAAAAUAAGAAUUAGCUUUAUUAGAAAUAAGAGGAAUUGACAUGUAGACCCCAGUUGGAAAGGGUUGAGGCUGGGUUCUUGACAAUAUGAAGUCUGCAGCAGGACCCAGAAAGCCAAGAAAACUCAGCCGCUCGAAGCUAACUGGAAGAGUUCCUGCUUGGUCAGGGCUUAUCAUCCCGGAGAGCAGACUGUGCCUCUGUGUGCAAUCUAAUCUUUUCCGGAUGUGCUUCACUUUUUAAUGUUUUUUAUUUUUCCUUUAAACUUUCGUCUUUCUGUAAACAGGGGUUUGUGAGGGUAAGUAAGAUCGAGAUACAAAAAAAGAAAAUGGUCAGAGGGAGUUGGAAUGAGCUGGGGAAAUUGAUAGUCUUAGAAUUAAUUUGGAAGAUAAUAUAAUUGUCUUUUGAUAUUUCAUAAAAGAAAAAUAUCUGUGGAGGCGAGGGUGGAACGGAGUAAUUGGCUUUAGGAGAUAUGAUAUAUUUGCACUUUUCCUCCCUGCACCUGGAGUCGCCUGGAAUUGAUUAAAUAAGUAUUUAACAAACCAGGGCGCCUACAUGUAUGUUCCAGGAUCAGCAAUCUAAAAAUAGUAACUCAGCACAAGAUGGAAAUUAAAAACCCUCUAAUCAACAUCUUUGUGGUGCUUGAAAGGGUGGUAACCUGAGGGUGUCAGCCCUGCCUGCCCCUUGCCUGCCCCCUCCCCUCCCCUCCCCUCUUCUCUCUCUGCUCCCUCUACUGACAUUCGUUUGUCCCCCUUAUAUUAUUUUUCCCCUUCCCCUCACUUCCUCUUGUAUGUACUUUUGUAUAACUCUGAGGGUCUCCUUCCAUUUCCAUGCAUUUUCCCUUCUCUCUCCCUUUCCCUCCCACCUCUCAUCCCUGUUUAAUGUUAAUCUUCUUCUCAUGCUCUUCGGCCCUACUCUGUUCUUAGUUACUCUCCUUAUAUCAAAGAAGACAUUUGGCAUUUGUUUUUUAGGGAUUGGCUAGCUUCACUUAGCAUAAUCUGCUCUAAUGCCAUAAGCUGGAUUUUCUUGAUUCCAUUUCCUGAGGAAUUCUCAAACAUAUUCAUCAUCUUGUCCUUUGUAUUUCCUGUAAAAUUACAGUUAGAGUUGGAGAUUUUAUCUGAUUCUGGUUCCACGUUUUGGUAAUACUACUUCUUAAGUAGCGGUAUUUCCGUAAAUAGAAGUGUGUGUGUAUGUGUGUGUGUGUGUGUGUGUGUGAGAGAGAGAGAGAGAGCGAGAGAGAGAGAUUAUCAACUCUUAAAAAUUUUUAUAUGAAUCCAUUAAUUCAUUAGUUAUAAAAAUUGUUGAUAUCUUAAUUUUAUAAUUUUUUUUAAAAAAAUAUAUCUUAAUUUUAUAAUUUUUUUAAAAAACCUUUAUUUUCUAGAGCAGUUUUAGGUUCACAAGAAAUUGAAUGGAAUGUAAGUAACAUUCCCACAUAAUCCACUCCAUAUAAGCUCAUUAUCCCCCAUGACCAGCAUCACUCCCCAGAGUAGGGGCUUAUUUAUGAAAACCAAUAAACCUGUAUUGACCCAUGCUUACCACCCAGAGUUGAUAUUUUCAUUAAAGCUCACAAUUGUACAUUCUAUGUGUUUUGACAAAUAUAGAAUGAUACAUAUCCACAAAUGAUUUUCUUUUCAUUUAUUGAAUUUCCUCUAUGGGGAGAAACUUCACCCCUCAUUAACAUUUGGUUAGCUGAAGUAAAAGAAAUCCAGAUGAAUGUAUUCUCAUUAUUAUUAUUAUUUAUUCUAGCACAGUCACUAGCAGAGGAAGGGGAUACAAUACACACGUCUUCAUAAAUUGAAUUGUAUUUGAUUCAUAUUAGAAUUUGCUCCAAAGAACUUGUACAAGACAAAGGAGGACACCAUGGUAUUAACAGAGACUAGAACUUAAGUUCCAUGAAAAAGCUUAAAAAGAAUCAAAUCUCAGUAAAGGCUCUCAGUACUAAAGUGAACACGGAGGCACUAGUGAAUCACACAAUUCUGGUACGGCCCGUGGCCAAGUCUCAUCAAUAUUCACCAAAGUAUUCUUUCCCCAACACAGGGAAAGAAAGAAAGAAAGAAAAGAGGGACAAUUUCUGAAUCACUCCCUCCAACCACGGAAAUGAUUUUAAUUACCAAUUCAUCUGUUGGCAGACUCUUCUGGCAGAUGUACCUGCAAGUUGGAAAGAUAACAAAUGAACCAAUUCCUUACUCCAGAGUUGACACUGAUAGUUCGGACUGAAUUUGCUCUCAGAAAAGAAUCCUGGGCAACAAUACAUCUGGCACUCUGCUCGAGGAAUUUGUCAUGUCGUUGACAUGUUCAGCCUCCAUUGUCCAUACCACCCCGGCAGCAGGUCCUUUAUGUUUCAGUGAAAUUGCAGUCUGAAUUAAUAUAAUUAGAAUGUAACUGCUAUUCACUGCACACACACUCCUUAUUUCCAGGAGUACAGAUCUGAUAGCAUGUCUGUGCUCAAAAUCUUUCCAUGAUGGCUGAAGGGGAGCAAGCAGAGAGGGGAAUGAUAGAACACUCACUAGUUCAUCAACCGUAUGAGCUAAUGGAAAUAUAGGAGGAGAGAAAGAAAGUCCUGACCUUGGCAUGUCUAAAGAUAAAUAUCUGUCAAGUUUCCUAGCCUGGAUAGCACUGUUAUAAAAUAUGUACUAUAGUCCGUCUGAAUUGAGAGAAAGAAGUGAACUAGGAAAGACCAGUUAUCUUCCAAAAGACAAUUAUAGUAAGUAGAGUGGAUAAUUCAGGGAUAGAAUUACAGAGUGAAGAGGUGGAUGGACAACUUCCUUCUUUCUUUCAUGUUUUGCUUUGCGCAGUGGAUGUCGCUCACCAAGCAACUGUCAUCAAGUGAAUAAUGAUUUUUUUUUUUACUAGAAUCUUGAAUUUCAGCCUUCAUUAAUUUUCUGUUCUUACAAAUUCUUGAUAUGGUAGAAAAGGACAUCAACAACUUUUUUUUUUUUAAAUAAGAUGGACUCACAUUUUCUUAAUUGAGUUUGAGUUUUCACUUGGAUGAUCCAUUGGAGGGGAGCACUGCCCUGACAUUAUCAGUAUGUUGGCUGGAGUUCAUGGUUUUGGCCUCUUUUCUUCUCUGGAGAACUGUGAAACUUGUGUACUGGAUGCUGUGUUCCUCCAAAUUCUACAUGGAAUCCCUAACCUCCUGUAUGAUGGUAUUUGGAGGUAGGGACCUUGGGGAAACCAUUGGAUUUGAAUGAGGCCAUGAGGAUAGGCCCCCAUGAUGAAAUGUGUGUCCUUAUAAGAAGAGGAAAAAGAGAUCAGAUUGCUAUCUCUGUCCCCCUCCACCAAAUGAGAAUACAGCUAGAAUGCAACUGUCUGCAAUCCAGGAAGACAGACCUAACAAAGGACAUCAACUGACUUGUACCUUGAUCUAGGAUUUCCCUGCCUUAAAUACUGUGAGAAAUAAUUAUCUGUUGCUUAAGUUACCACCCGAUCUGUACUAUUUUGUUAUGAUGGCCUGAGCUAAGACAGUGCAUGGUAUAAUUUGAGCAUGUGCCCUAAAGGUUCAAGUGUUGAAGGAUUGGCCUUCAAAGUGGUAGCAUUGAGGUGGUAGAAAUCUUUUAGAUGUAAGUCUCAGUGCAAGGUGAUUAGGGCUGAGGGAGGCAUUGUCCUUGGAAAGGAUUAAUGCUGGUUUUACAGAGUAGUCAGUUUUUGAGAGGGUGAGUUGUUAUACAAAGAGCAAACCUGGAACCUGAAUCCCUCUUGCUUUCUGUCUCACUAUGUGAUAUCUUCCAUAUACUCUCCUGCAAUUGUUAGCAUCUUGAAAACAUCAACAAUGAUUCCUUGCCUUCGUGCUAUCCUGUGAAGCAUUAACCUUCUCUCCCUAAAUUUGAAGGAACUGUCCACCAUUUUACAUUAACAAGCCUAGGGGUUUUCAGAAUUAAGUGUGUUUCGGAAUCAUAUGUGGUGGCUGGGGGCAUUGGAAGAGGAUUUAUUAAAAUGCCAAUGCCUGAAUUCCUUCUGGAUCCACAGAAUCAGAGUUCUCAGCUGUGGUGCCCAAAUAAUGUGAGUUGAAAUCCACUCCAACUGCUUUGAACUUGACACCUCUAGGCUGAUAUUCUCUUUCACAGAUACAAUAUUCAAAAUUACUAUACUAGCAGAUAUUUCUAUAGAUGAUAAGCAUCAUUUCCAAAAACAAAUAUAUUUAAUUUAUAUAAGUGGAGGUAUGUUUAAGACAUUUUGAGAGGGGCCUAUCAGAAUACUUGUGGGGCUACUGUGACCCUCUCCAGUGUAUACAUUCUUUUUCUCCUUUGUUAACAGCAUGCUUAGUUUCCCAGUCUGACUGUUCACUCUGGGUUAGAUAGAAAAUUUGACAUCUCACAUUUUCAGGCAAUUUACUUUGCAAAUUAACACAAUAGAGAUUUAUAUUUUAAUGUUGAAAUCCUUUAAUAAAGUAAAUAAUUGUCUCUCUUUCCAGAAUAUUUGUCUUAUUACUCUGGAUGCUUAAUAAUAGGAUUAUGUGUUAUAAACAUGUGUUUAGGCAUCCAAAUAUAUGCACAAAUGGAAAAUAUCAAGCUUACAUUCCCCAAAAGUGGACACUCAUGAGGUCUUGCCUUUGUUUUCUCUAAGGACUAUCCAAAUCAGAGUUCAAUGAAGGAAGUUUACAGAAAUCUUGUCCCUAGUCUCCUAGUUUCCACCCACAGCAGGCUCUGUUUAGUGGCCUUCAGAGAAUUCUCAUGGGGGUGGAUAGGAAGUGGAUUGGGCAUGGACUUGAGCUCCUAUCUGCUGUUUGACCAAUGGAUUUUUGGAUAGACUUGUCAUGCAAAAAAUAGCUUGAUUUAUUCCCGUGUGGUAGUAGAGACAGACUCCCAGGACCCGGAUGCCCCUUAACACCCCAGAGGACAUUAUUCUGAAUAACUCAGUAAACUGAUUAGUAGAGCUACUAGGCAUGAUAAGUAUAUUCCAAAAAAAGAUCUUUUUCCAAUUACAAAAGUAGUGCAUACUCCUUGAAAAGAAUACUAGAGGGGAAGGGAGAAAUGUAGGAAAGAUAAGAAGGGAGAAAGUCCAAGCGAAGUGCUGACUUGACAGUCGAAGCCCUGUGGACUAGAACCCAGCCUUCCUUGUCGUCUGCUUUUGGGUAAGUUACACCACACGUCUGAGCAUCCUUCUCAUCUGUGAAAUGGGAACCACGUCUCUCGCAGAGUCAGGGUUUGUUAAAGCACACUCUGAGGAAGGGUUUAGUGAAAUGACUGGAGUGGAGGGAGCAGCUGUAACACUAUAUACCAGAGAGAACAGUGUUGUCAAGGCUGGUAGCAAUGGGUGGUGGUUACUGAGUAUGUCCUUACUGGGCAAGCAGACUUGACUUUGAACCCCUUUUGCUUGUCGGCAGAGUUAUUGCUAUUGGUAUUCCUAGUGUUCUAGUCAGCUUUUUCAUUGCUGUGGCUAAAAGAACUGAACAGAACAGUUUUAGGGGAAGAAAAGUUUAUGUGGGGGCUCACAGUUUCAGAGAUCUCAGUCCAUGGGCAGGAGGCUUCAUUCCUCAGGGCUCAGGGUGAGGCUGAACAUCAUGGCAGAGAGUGUGGUAGAGGAAAGUGGCUCACAUGAUGAUCAGAAAGCAGAUAAAGACUCCACUCUCCAGAUACAAAUUAGAUACCCCAUAGCUCUGCCUGCAAUGAACCACUUCCUCCAGCCACACCCCACUGUCUCAGUUUCCCACUCAAUUAAUCCCAUCAGGGAUUAAUUAGUUUACUGCUUAGGUUAAGGCUAUAACCCAAUGGUUUUGUCCUCUAAACCUUCUUGCAUUGUGUAAUGUAAGUUUUUGGGGGGAUACCACAUCUAAACCAUAUCACAUAGCAUUAAAUCUGUAUCUUUUUUUUUUUUUUUUUUGUACCAGGGGUGCUUAACCACGGAGUGACUUCCCCAGCUCUUUUUAUCUUUUGUUUUGAGACAGGGGUCUCUCUAAGUUGCUAGAGUCUCACUAAGUUCUCACUUGCAAUCCUCCUGACUCAUCCUACCGAGCUGCUGAGUGUAUCACAUUUUUUAAAGAAAUUUUUGAGCUCUCUUAAUAUUAUGAUUAUCAAAAAUAGAUUUCAAUUACGUCUGUUUUCACGAUGUAUUAACUGAAAUCUCCUAAUCCUUGCCGUAACCUUACAAGCAUUUUUCUUAGUUUGUGAGAAUGAUUAAAAAAUAAAAAAUAAAACCCUCAGAAACAAUUAAUGUUCCUAAGAAAGUAAAAAAAAAAAAUCUUUGCAGUAAUGUUUCAUUUUAUCGUCAUAUUUUUCCUGAGAAACCAAUGAAGAAUGGCAGUUUUAUAUGUAAAACAGUAGUUAGCCUUUAUACAGCUGACAUUUUUCUAAAAGCCUAGAAAUAUUUCACAUUUGAAGAAAAACACCCGGUUCCCAUGUUGGAUCCGAUUAAAAUUCAAAUCUAUAUUAACAUCUCAUUACUGUUUGAAAAAGCCAACUGCACACUAAUGGAAAAUGCCCAGUGUCUGCCAGCCCUGCUUUCCCCUGGUUCUUUAGCAAGGCUGUCCUGGGACCUGGGAGGGCGGGGCCACAGUUACAUCCUUGUUAAAACAGCAGCCUGAAUGCUGGCCCUCAGUUUUGGUUUUUCCUUCCUUUUCCCUCUUCCAUCCCUGCAUUGUUUCAGCUGCCAGUCUUGCAGUAUUUUCUUUCAUGCAAGGGAAAAGGAAGGGCAAAAAUGACUUUGAAAGAAUAACAUUUCUUUCUAUGCACUUAAAUAGAACACUCAACACAGAACAUCCUGUGUUUCCUUUUAAUGGAUGACACGCUGACUUGGUGGUGAGCUGACUAAACACCAGGGCUUGACGUUCAGAUAGGUGUUCUUGCAGUCGCACUUACCCGCUGGAGAACAUUCUGCUCGGCUAUUUUAAGUGACAAUCUGUCUUUUUCCAGGCACUCUGGUUCUUCUUAUCCCCCGAUGACUUUUCUCUGUUAUACUUAUCACCUUCUGACGUGUGUUUAUUAUGGUUUUUGUUUAUUCUCUGACUUCCCUGGUCAUAGGUAAAUAUUACAGGAGCAAGCAUCUCUGUUUUGCUAGCUGUUGGAUUCCCUCUUCUAAAAACAGGACCAGGCCCAAAGUAGGCACUUAAUAAAUAUUUGCAGCUGCAACAAAUAAACUAGUUCCUACCUCAGUGUUCUCUCCUGAACAAUUGGGGGAAAAUAAUAGAUAAAAAAUAUGUUAUGAACACAUUCUAUAAAUAUAUUUAAGCCUAGUAGAUACAUUGGAGAUUACAGGUCUAUUUGGAGUGUAGUUGAAUAAGAAAUAAAUGAGUUGGAUGAAAGAGCAACAUUCCCUUGUCACUCUGUUCUCCUACUCGGCUUUAUUUUUCUUCCAACACUGAGUCCCCACAUUCAGUAUAAUACAUAGUUCUUUGUUUUUGUCUGCCUCUCCUUAGUAAAAUGUUAAGUUUUUUUUUUUUUUUUUUUUGUAUGGGGGUGGGUACCAGGGAUUGAACUCAGGGGCACUCGACCACUGAGCCACAUCCCCAGCCCUAUUUUGUAUUUUUUUAGAGACAGGGAAUCACUGAGUUGCUUAGCACCUCUGUUUUGCUGAGGUUGGCUUUGAACUCUCAAUCCUCCUACCUCAGCCUCCAGAGCCACGGGGAUUAUAGGCAUGCGCCACAACACCCGGCCAAAUGUUAAGUUUUAUAAGGGCAGGAUCUUGGGUGUUUUGUUUCCCAUUGCUUAGGCCAGUGUGUGACACAGAGCAAGCACCAAAGACACAAAUAUGCAAAUGUUUCCGUGAGUGUAUUCACUCCGGACUGUAUCUACCCCUGACCCUGACUCGAUCAGGAUUUGUGGUGUGAUUGGUCACUAAGAUCUAGGUACUGCUGAGGCAAAUGAUGGAUGGGGAGAUGAGAAAGGAAACAAGAUGAUCAAGAUGAUACUGAUAUUUUAAGUAUUUCAAUCACAGGGACAACUAUGGGUAUGGUGGGAGAACAGACAGGACCUGGCACUUAGUAGCUGGUCAGUAACGGUUAGCUAUCAUCACCAUCAUUAUCAUAAACCACAUUAGCAUCCAGGUGUUGGCACAUUAGAGCUUAUGGGCCAAAUCCAGCCUGUGGCCUAUUCUUAUAAAUAAAGUUUUAUUGAACAUAGCUCAUUCAUUUAUUUUCUAUGAAUGUUUUCAUGUCUAUGGCUAUUUUCAUUCUAAAACAGCAGAAUUGAGUAGCUACAGAGACUGUAUGGGUUGCAAAACCCAAAAUAUUUAGCAUCUGGCCCUUUACAGAAAAGGUACUUGAACACUCAUCUAGAAUAUUGGUCUGUCUCCAAUAUAACUAAGCCUAGAGCCAAUCAGGCAUGGUCCAUGGAUAAGUUUGAUCCUCAUUCUGAAAUGGGAGUACAGAAACUAAGUAUUUACAAACUUCUAUAACAAUUUGUCAUUGAAAACCCAGUGAAUGAUUUUGGUUUAUACAAAAAUGUUGCUUUAUGACAGUUUGGAAAUUGAAAAGGAUCUGCCCUUUCCUAGAGGGAUGGGUCUGUUUUGUAAUGGGAUGUUGAUCAUAUCAGUAACUUUAGUAAGUUAUGUUCAUGUUGGUUUUAGAUGAAAACAUCUGGAAGCACAUCAGGUGGGAGUGACAAGCGUGUCUUAAGAUUGCAAGUGACCUGGGAAGGUUGAUGAACAAGCACAUUAAUAACAUCGUGAAAAUGGAUUUUCUAUGUAGAUGAAUGGCUCAGCCAGCCACAGUUCACUUACCAGCUAAUAUAGUUGUAAUGUGUUGCUUGGUAUGGAGAGAAGGCAGUCACUUUAGGGUGUUUGGGAUGUUUCAUGCACAUAUAUAAAUAAAUUCUCUUUUGGUAAGAACGUUUUAAGUUGAUAUAUCAUCUUCUUUGAAUAGCAAGUCAUCAAUUUUCCUGGAAAUCUGGUGAAACAACAGUUAUAUGACCAGCCUUAUGUUUUGUUGCAUGUGCAUGUAAACAAAAAAAGAAAGAAACAAAAGAAAAAGCCGACUGACUUUUUCCUUUUCUGUUUUAGAAUCGGUUCCAAACAGUCAAGCCUGCCAGAAAAAACAGACAAACUCUCAAGAACAACAAUGCCUAUUAUGUGUGGUGGAGGAGCCGCCAGAUUUUGAUUACCGGACAGACAUUAACUCCUUUGGUGUCUCAUGCAAGAAAUGCCAAGUCUGAAUCCAGAUAUUUUCCAGAAUAGCAUGAGAUCUGCAAUUUACAGUGUCUUCUGCAAAAAAAAAAAAAAAAAGCAACUGAGAGAAGGAAGUGCAAGUUAAAGACCACAUCUCCUGGUUUCUCGAAUUCUGCCAUGACUCUUCCUGGUAAAUGGACAGACUGAGUACCUGUGCUCUUCCUUUUGCAGGCCUUAGGUUGUGGGCCAGAAGCACGUUACUCUACCCACCUGUCCCACCUGUGUUGUCUUGAUGUCUAAAGGACUGUCACAUUCUGCCCUCAUUGAGAAAAUGCAUGGGUUCCUGGAGGCUACCUCUUACAGUAAAACUUUGAGAAAGAAGAAUCCUUGCAAACUCUGUGAUCAGCAUCUCCCCCCCCCCACCCCAAUAGACUCCCUGAAGGCUGUCAGACUCCAUCCUGCU